CAGUGCACCAUCCUGCAUCUCUUUCACAGUCAAGUGGAUCACUGGUCAGAUGCUCUGUUGUGUGGGAUUUCAUGCUUAUGGACUGGGCAUUUCAUAAAUAAGCCCACAGAUGAUUGUGGGUGACCCUUUAUGGACUAAGAAUGCAAAUCUAGAUUCAGAAUAGGUAUCUGACCUUGUGAGAACAAAAUACUAGAUCUUCCAUGACAGCAAAUGCCCAAUGUAUUCAAUGUUGCCAAGUGGAUUUUUUGCCUAUCCAAGUAGUAAGUAGUAGUGUUGUAUCACUGUCUCAGCAUUGAGCUUCAUUGCAGACAGGUUGGAUACUCAGAAGUAUCUGUGGCUAGAUUGAACUUCAUAAGUGGAAAUCUGUGCUUUCCAGGCCAUAUAUAACCUUUAUUUCUGCUACUUUGGCCACUCUGUUAACAUGCUCAUGUACUAGUUCUAUUGUUGAAUAAUGGUAAAUACCAAGAAGAUUUAAGACAGGCAAAAUAUUAAUAGAAGGAUAUGGCAGUGAUGGGUAAAAAAUAGGAAGCAGGCAUGUGCAGAAUGAAUCUUCAGAAGGCACUGCAUAUCUACUAACUGUGAAAUUAGUAAGGUAGUAAAGGACAACUAGACAGGACAUGUCUUAUCCUGAAGUACACCUUUAAGAACAUUUUGGCCAGGAUAAAAGGGAGCCUUUUUGGUAUGCUGAAAAUGCCCCCCCCCCCCCCGCCCAAAUAUCAGGCCCAAUCCUGGAACCUAUGGAUGUUACAUUAUAUGAUAAAAGAUACAAUAAAAUUAAGGAUCUUGAACUGUAGAUAUUAUCUUAAAAAAGCAUGCAAUCAGAUGUGUCCUUAUAAGACUGGUAGAGGGAGAUUUAACACAGAGAAGACCACACAGAAAAGAAGGCAAUGUGACCACAAAGACUGAGAUUGGAAUGAUGCAACCACUAGUGUCAAGAUGCCAACAGUCACUAGAAGCUGGAAGAAGCAAAGAAUGGAUUCUUCUCUAGAGCAUCCAGAGAAAACACUCCUUUGCAGACUCCUUGAUUACAGCUCAGUGCCUCUGAUUUCAAAAUUCUGGCAUCUAGAACUGGUUGAGAAAGAAUUUCAGUUGUUUAGAGCCACAUUUCUGGCCAUCAUUAUAGGCAACGAAUACAGUUCUCAAGCCAGAGUUGUACAGUAGAGGAGGUCCACAUAAUACAAGAAUGAAUCUGCAUGCAUAUGAUACCAUGCUCAGUCAUUGCCUGGAAGCACCCUGGGGGAAGUGUGGCUUGGCAUGAAUGCAGCAUGGAUCAAGGAAGGCAGCAAAGAACCUGCCAGUCAAUUGCCCUUUCCAGAAUAAGAAAAGAAAACGGCACAUUUCUAUCACAACCAAGUAAAAGGUCGUGAAUGUCUCCCUUUAUUGAUAUCAAGCAAUCUCAUGGAAGCUGAUUGGAAUGUGCCACUGUGAUACACAAAUAUUCCUGGCCAGAAUAUUCACCAGUGCUUUUGAAAAUACUGAUUCCAAGGUCCCAUCGUCCUUACUAGGUCAGAAUCUCCAUGAGAAAAUUUCCAAGUAUUUCUGAGGAUUCAUGUGAUUAGGAUAAUUUGGGAACUACUUGGACAAAACUGAAAUUGCAAAGAAGCCAAGGACAGAAUUGAGAGAUUUGCAGAAAGAGGCUGAAGCCAUAACUGACUGAUCACCGGUCUCAACAAUUAACAUGGGAUAAUUAAUCUUUGGAACAAAAUCAAAUGGCUUGAUCCUAGGUCCCUGAGAUCAUAACCUGAGCCAAAAUCAAGAGUCCAACACAGAGCCUGACUCACUACUGGAUCUUAUACCCUGAGAUGGUUACCAGAACCCAAACAAAGAGCUGGACACUUAACUGACUGUGCCACCCAGAUUUCAUUAGACAAAUGAAAUCCAGAGUGAUCCCAAGAGCCUUUCAUUUCCAUGGAAUUUCAUGGAACUAAUAACUUCUAAUUUCUUCCUGAAGGACUUAUCACUCUUCGCUGAUAUAAGUGAUUAAGUAAGUAGAAAAAAGAGAAUUCCUCUAUGCUGAAGAAUUCCAAAUAAUGCAAUCAUCUACCCUCAAGAAGUAGAAGCAAAACUCCCACUCACUACCUAAGUAUUAGCUACACUUAGUGAUUUUCUCCCAAAGAAUGCUAUAUGAAAAAAAGGGAAAGAAGAGUAACUCUACAGGAAAGAAGGCUGACAAGCAAUCCCACCAGGGAAUCUAGGUCAACAUGAACUUUAAUAAAUCAUGUUUGAAUAUUAUCCCGUGAUAUUAAAUGAUUAAAAGGUGCUUUAUCCUCAUGAUCUUCUUACUCAAAGUUCAUACCACCUAAUUAUGAGAAAAAAUCAUACCAGUCUUAACAGAGUGGCAUCCUAUAAUAUGCCUAGCCAGGACUCAUAAUGAUCAAGGUCAACAGGAACAAGGAAAAUCUGAGAAUCUGUUAUACUCAAGAGGAGCCUACAGAGACAUGAGAACUUAAUGUAAUGUGGUAUCUUGGAGCAGAAAUUUGAGUGAAAAAUGGAUUCUAGUUGAAAACAGUAAUCAACACUGCUUAUUAUUAAUAAACGUAUAAGAUGUUAAUAAUGGGGAAACUGCAUUUAGGGUACAUGUGAACUCUUUCAAAUUCUGGAAGUCUAAAACUGUUAUAAAAAAAGUAAAUUGGGCUGAUCUGAUAGUUCUCAUAUUAGUAACUUUCUCAGACAGGAGUGGAAUGUUAGUUGAUAAAACAAAAGCAUACAAUGAAGAAGAAAAAAGGAUGCUAUGAAUUUGAAGAUAAAACCAAGAUCAUACAAUAGUUUUUAAAGUUUUUG
This is a long non-coding RNA of Canis lupus familiaris (dog), 2781 nucleotides long. RefSeq lists it as uncharacterized. The transcript has 7 exons. The record is from RefSeq and is a predicted model, not a curated record. Lineage: Eukaryota; Metazoa; Chordata; Mammalia; Carnivora; Canidae.